ACUCCCUUUCUUGUCAGGUACCAGGUAUGUACGUUCCCUGUUAUGUCUGGAGGCGGAGGGAAAGAGCUCUAGUCCCCUGGGCAUCAUGUCUUUGAUGCCAAUGGCUUCCUGUCUGCCAGUUUUAUCAUCAAGCACCAGGACACGG
Small nucleolar RNA from Callithrix jacchus (white-tufted-ear marmoset), 145 nucleotides. Lineage: Eukaryota; Metazoa; Chordata; Mammalia; Primates; Cebidae. The record is from Ensembl.